Molecule: ribosomal RNA, 398 nt
Filed under: Mannophryne olmonae (Bloody Bay poison frog)
Lineage: Eukaryota; Metazoa; Chordata; Amphibia; Anura; Aromobatidae
Description: partial 16S ribosomal RNA
Rfam family: Bacterial large subunit ribosomal RNA
Source: RNAcentral
UGUCCUUUAAAUGAGGACUGGUAUGAACGGCUUCACGAGGGCUGCACUGUCUCCUUUUUCUAAUCAGUUAAACUAAUCUCCCCGUGAAGAAGCGGGGAUUCACCUAUAAGACGAGAAGACCCUAUGGAGCUUUAAACAAUUGUUAACAUUUGCAUUUAAAAACUUUUCUACUACAUAAAGUCCAAGCACUAUGUUUCUAGUUUUAGGUUGGGGUGACCAUGGAGAAAAACCCAUCUUUUUUGUUGAAAGAAAUUUUAUUUCUUAGCAAAAAGUUACAUCUUAAUGCAUCAACAAAUUGACCCUAAUUGACCCAAUAAUUUGAUCAACGAACCAAGUUACCCUAGGGAUAACAGCGCAAUCCACUUCAAGAGCUCUUAUCGACAAGUGGGUUUACGACC